GGUACAUCGGUGACAGUGGUGCAUGGUUGUCGUCAGCUCGUGUCGUGAGAUGUUGGGUUAAGUCCCGCAACGAGCGCAACCCCUAUUGUUAGUUGCCAUCAUUCAGUUGGGCACUCUAGCGAGACUGCCGGUAAUAAACCGGAGGAAGGUGGGGAUGACGUCAAAUCAUCAUGCCCCUUAUGACCUGGGCUACACACGUGCUACAAUGGUUGGUACAACGAGUUGCGAGUCGGUGACGGCGAGCUAAUCUCUUAAAGCCAAUCUCAGUUCGGAUUGUAGGCUGCAACUCGCCUACAUGAAGUCGGAAUCGCUAGUAAUCGCGGAUCAGCACGCCGCGGUGAAUACGUUCCCGGGCCUU
This 358-nucleotide ribosomal RNA is filed under the name uncultured Streptococcus sp. RNAcentral's name for it is "bacterial SSU rRNA". It matches the Rfam family "Bacterial small subunit ribosomal RNA", at positions 1023 to 1382 of the family's 1533-position model. Lineage: Bacteria; Bacillati; Bacillota; Bacilli; Lactobacillales; Streptococcaceae. The record is from RNAcentral.